Molecule: ribosomal RNA, 253 nt
Filed under: uncultured bacterium
Lineage: Bacteria
Description: partial 16S ribosomal RNA
Rfam family: Bacterial small subunit ribosomal RNA
Source: RNAcentral
UACAGAGGGGGCAAGCGUUGUUCGGAAUUACUGGGCGUAAAGGGCGCGUAGGCGGCCUGCUAAGUCGAACGUGAAAUCCCUGGGCUCAACCCAGGAACUGCGUCCGAUACUGGUUGGCUUGAAUCCGGGAGAGGGACGUGGAAUUCCAGGUGUAGCGGUGAAAUGCGUAGAUAUCUGAAGGAACAUCAGUGGCGAAAGCGACUUCCUGGACCAAUACUGACGCUCAUGUGCGAAAGCGUGGGGAGCAAACAGG